RNAcentral lists this long non-coding RNA (306 nucleotides) under Heterocephalus glaber (naked mole-rat). RNAcentral describes it as "lncRNA (ENSHGLG00000050683.1)". Lineage: Eukaryota; Metazoa; Chordata; Mammalia; Rodentia; Bathyergidae. The record is from RNAcentral.
AAAGCAAAGCACAGAUCCUCAGCUCUGAAACUGCAGUUCAGACCUGAAGUCCCUGAAAUUCAUAGACUGUAUCACUUCUGCUCUCAGUGGACUAGAAUUGAAAAUACAGAUUCCUGUGUAAUUAAGAAUGGAAGAAUUUGAAUUGAAUCCACCCAACUGUGUCACUCUACAUAAAGAGAAGAUGAAUGGGGAAAAAAUAAGAACCAAGAUGCAUUAUAUAAAGAAGCUUUUUAAUUAGAAGAGAUCCCACUUGUUGAUGGUUUGUGCGAGUUCAAGAGCAACUGAGGUUUUGUUCAUAAGAUGUUU